This 144-nucleotide ribosomal RNA is filed under the name uncultured eukaryote. RNAcentral describes it as "partial 18S ribosomal RNA". It matches the Rfam family "Eukaryotic small subunit ribosomal RNA", at positions 1299 to 1458 of the family's 1831-position model. The record is from RNAcentral.
UGGUGGAGUGAUUUGUCUGGUUAAUUCCGUUAACGAACGAGACUCUAGCCUGCUAAAUAGACGGGAGAUCCCGUUGUGGGUCGACCCGAUUGCUUCUUAGAGGGACAAGUGGCGUUCCCAGCCACGCGAAAUUGAGCAAUAACA